Molecule: ribosomal RNA, 253 nt
Filed under: uncultured bacterium
Lineage: Bacteria
Description: partial 16S ribosomal RNA
Rfam family: Bacterial small subunit ribosomal RNA
Source: RNAcentral
UACAGAGGGGGCGAGCGUUGUUCGGAAUUACCGGGCGUAAAGGGCGCGUAGGCGGCCCGCUAAGUCGAACGUGAAAUCCCCAGGCUUAACCUGGGAACUGCGUCCGAUACUGGCAGGCUUGAAUCCGGGAGAGGGAUGUGGAAUUCCAGGUGUAGCGGUGAAAUGCGUAGAUAUCUGGAGGAACACCGGUGGCGAAGGCGGCAUCCUGGACCGGUAUUGACGCUGAGGCGCGAAAGCUAGGGGAGCAAACGGG